This is a long non-coding RNA of Dicentrarchus labrax (European seabass), 1616 nucleotides long. The record is from Ensembl. Lineage: Eukaryota; Metazoa; Chordata; Actinopteri; Moronidae.
GCGUUGUGGGUUGUCGUCCCUCCGUCCAUGUCCUCUGACAACAGAGGCAUAACUGGGACGCUGCCCUGUGGCCUGGUAGCGUUGGCGAGAGCGGUACUGGGCUGAGCGGGGUCUGGGCCUUUCCCCCCGGGGCUGCCUGUAGCGAUCACGCCGGUAGGAAACCACCGUCCAGUCCUCUUCCCUGUUCUCACCACGCAUUCUGGGCCGUGGUGUGCUCGAGCUGUGAGAAGCAAGUGGGACUGAGGAGUGGGCAGGCUGGGUGAGUGUGUGGGCCCCUUGCAAACCCAGAGGGUGUCUGUGGAGGAUUUACAGGUGAUUAUUAGAUAGUUUUUUUCCUUUUUUCUCUCUUUUUUAAGGUAAAGCCUGGUAGGGAUUUAGGAGUGUUUGGGGUUUGAGAUGGGUGUCCUGGGGGGUGGUUAGGGUUAGGGAUAAAGUUCAGGUAGUGGUUAGGGUUAGGGGUUAAGGUCAGGGUCAGGGGUCAAUAAGAGGUAGGAGCCUCAGCUGCCUCCUCAUGUGCUCCGUUGCUCCCUUGCUCGUUAAAAGAUUUAUGGACAAAUAGAACAGUGAGAACUUGCGAAAUUCAAAUAGUACAUCUCCAAUUAGGGUUAGGGUUACCCGAUAGGAAUAGGGAUGAGUGCAACAUUAGACAUUGGUCUAAUGAGCAUGUUUCUCCUCACAGGAAGGUUGUAGAGAGUUCAAAGCAGGUUCAAUCUGUUCAUUUUUUUCCUUCCGCUUCUUUGGGUGUCGGUCUCGACUUCCGGCGCUAGGGUUAGGGUUAGGGGUUAGGGUUAGGGUUAGGUCUUGGGAAAGAAGACUGUCCCCUGUAGGGAACAGUGGGUGCACUCUCCUUCCACCCUCUUCCUCCCCGGUCCUGAAACGGUUGGCGAGCUCGCCCGCGUCUGCCACCCCGUUGGACCAGGGUCCAAUCAUCAUCCAGGUGGCGUUCGCUCGCGACGUUUCGUCCGCUUCUUGGGACUUCUUCAGGCUGCCAUGACAUACAGGUGGUUUUCUUGUGAUUUUAGAGGUAAGUAUCCCCUUAAAGUGAGGUAAGUAUUCCUAUUAGUUGAGGUAAGUAUCCCCUUUAGUUGAGGUAAGUAUUCCUUUAAGUUGAGGUAAGUAUUUAAUUUAUUUGAGGUAAGUAUUUAGUUUAGUUGAGGUGAGUAUCCCCUAACUAUGAGCCCCUCUGGGGAGAUGUGGCUCCCUCAGAGGGCCGUGCCAAACUGAAUUCAAAAAUGUCCGCUGCUCCCUUUUGUACUCUGAGCCCCUCCCUUUCUGAAAAUUCGUGUUAUUCCUCCAUUGUAGUGACUUUCUCCAACUGCCAUUUCCCAUGUCUUUUUUCAAAUUAAAAUCCUUUGUUUCUGGUUCCAAUUCUUUGCCUUUAAUUUAAAUAGUGUUCAUAUCUAUGAUUAACACAUUGUUCACUGGGUAUGUGUGCCUCCCUUUAAUGGCUACACUUCAUCCAUGGGAUUUAAAUGCCUACUUUAUUUAGUGGCUUCAUCCAUUAUAUGAGCUUAGAAUGUCCUUCACUGAGGUUUAAAGAUAAAUUAAGGCCAGUAUUUUGGAGCCAGAGUGGGGACUAGAUUUGAAUAGGGCCUAGGAUUUGGGGUUAGGGCCUC